RNAcentral lists this small RNA (20 nucleotides) under Arabidopsis thaliana (thale cress). RNAcentral describes it as "Ath_wt_02732". Lineage: Eukaryota; Viridiplantae; Streptophyta; Magnoliopsida; Brassicales; Brassicaceae. The record is from RNAcentral.
CGAGUUCUAUCGGGUAAAGC